RNAcentral lists this ribosomal RNA (253 nucleotides) under uncultured bacterium. Its description in RNAcentral is "partial 16S ribosomal RNA". It matches the Rfam family "Bacterial small subunit ribosomal RNA", at positions 524 to 776 of the family's 1533-position model. The record is from RNAcentral.
UACGUAGGUGGCAAGCGUUGUCCGGAAUUAUUGGGCGUAAAGCGCGCGCAGGUGGUUUCUUAAGUCUGAUGUGAAAGCCCACGGCUCAACCGUGGAGGGUCAUUGGAAACUGGGGAACUUGAGUGCAGAAGAGGAAAGUGGAAUUCCAAGCGUAGCGGUGAAAUGCGUAGAGAUUUGGAGGAACACCAGUGGCGAAGGCGACUUUCUGGUCUGUAACUGACACUGAGGCGCGAAAGCGUGGGGAGCAAACAGG